Molecule: ribosomal RNA, 466 nt
Filed under: uncultured bacterium
Lineage: Bacteria
Description: partial 16S ribosomal RNA
Rfam family: Bacterial small subunit ribosomal RNA
Source: RNAcentral
UGGGGAAUUUUGGACAAUGGGCGAAAGCCUGAUCCAGCAAUGCCGCGUGUGUGAAGAAGGCCUUCGGGUUGUAAAGCACUUUUGUCCGGAAAGAAAUCCUUGGCUCUAAUACAGUCGGGGGAUGACGGUACCGGAAGAAUAAGCACCGGCUAACUACGUGCCAGCAGCCGCGGUAAUACGUAGGGUGCAAGCGUUAAUCGGAAUUACUGGGCGUAAAGCGUGCGCAGGCGGUUUGCUAAGACCGAUGUGAAAUCCCCGGGCUCAACCUGGGAACUGCAUUUGAAACUGGCAAGCUAGAGUCUCGUAGAGGGGGGAUAGAAUUCCAGGUGUAGCGGUGAAAUGCGUAGAGAUGUGGAGGAAGUACCGAUGGCGAAGGCAGCCCCCUGGGCCAAUANUGACGCUCAUGCACGAAAGCGUGGGGAGCAAACAGGAUUAGAUACCCUGGUAGUCCACGCCCUAAACGAUG